AACCAAUACACUUUCCUCUGUCGCAAUAAUUCUUAAAGUUGUGUUAACAUGGCUGGAAAUAAGAUUACUUUUUUCAUUGCUGCUCUCCUUUUGGCGAUUACUAUUAAUGUGUUCAGCGUUCCGAGGAUGCAAGUGAUGGCAUCGCGAAACUUACCAUUAAAUAUGUACUCCUACAAUAUUUUGGAAGGAAACCUACCGAUUCUUGCACUUAAUGACAGAGCUUGUCUUUUACCCUGCAGGGGAAAUACAGACUGCUCUAGUGGCACCAUUUGCAGAACUUGUGGGCCGAAUUUUACAUGUUCUCCUUAGGAAUUAAUUAUAAAGAAAUUCCUAUGCUUAUGUUGUUUUCCUUUUUCAUGUUCCGCUUUCCAUCUUUAUGUUGUUAUAAUAUAAUAAGGGGUAAGUAAAAUUAUUUUAAACUCCAAACCGGUAGCAGGGACUCCAACAUCCCUCUUUUGGUUACGUUGUUUUAUGAUAUAUCAUGUGUAUUCAGUUGCAAUAUAUAGUAACAAUGAUGAGUGUAUUGAGUAUAUA
This is a long non-coding RNA of Nicotiana tabacum (common tobacco), 534 nucleotides long. RefSeq lists it as uncharacterized. Lineage: Eukaryota; Viridiplantae; Streptophyta; Magnoliopsida; Solanales; Solanaceae. The record is from RefSeq and is a predicted model, not a curated record.